This is a long non-coding RNA of Passer domesticus (house sparrow), 1326 nucleotides long. RefSeq lists it as uncharacterized. The transcript has 3 exons. Lineage: Eukaryota; Metazoa; Chordata; Aves; Passeriformes; Passeridae. The record is from RefSeq and is a predicted model, not a curated record.
UUCCUAAGUAUUUCAUAACAGGUAAGAUGGAACUUUGGGCGAUAAGUACAAAUGCUUUUAGCAUAAAUGUAUAAAAGGUUUUAAUCAAAACCUCAUUAUCAGAGCAAAAUUUUUUCAAGUAAUGAAAAUACAUUAAUAACUAGAUUUCCCAAGUGUCAUUGGCUUCUGUCUGGCAUUUGACAGGUAUGACAAAUUCUGACCUCUUCAGCAAAAUUAUAGAAAUGGACGUGGAGAUUUUUUUUGUCCCGUUUGGGAGAUGGAUAAACUAGACACUUCUGUCCUCGCAGUCCAGAGCUAUGCAUAUGUUACAAUUCUUCUGACUCCAAGCCAGAUAAAGGGGAAGAGCUAAUGGUCUUGGGUUUCCUGUGGUAUACCCACAUACUCACUGUGGAGACUAUAAGAAAAUACUUCACACCUCCUAUUGUCUUUACUUUUCCAUAAGUGGAAAAUUUUCUCUGAAGUGGAUUCAUUAUCUCUGGCAUGGAUCAUCUGAGUGCACCUUCAGGAGGAGGUUGCUCUGCAAGAUUUUAGCAAAAGUCUCACAAGAGGACACUCUCACUGGGAGCUCCCUCCAACACUUAAUUGUCUCAUUCGAAUAUGUCAAUCUUGAAGCUGCUAAAUGGAACUUCAGAUAAUGCCUACAGAGAGUUUAGCAAUAAUACUUUGCCUACAGCACUCUGGCAGGACUGCAUGAGCUGUCAGUAUGCUUGCAAUGCAGUAGCAUUUCUUUGAAGUAACUAUUUAUUUUGGAAGCUUACUGUCAUUAACAGAAACCACCCCAAAGGAUGCAAUCUCCUCUUCUGAAGAUUAUUGUUUCAAGCUGUGAGUUUGGAGGUUUGCGUGUUUGUAUUCAGCUUACGAAGAGCAUCACAUUGUGGAAAGAUACUGGUAUAAAUAUUUUAGGCAAUGGAGGUGGAUAAACCAUCAUUAAAAAGAAGCCAAAUGUGCAGUUCCACAUGUGUUUCUGUUUGUUUAGGGUUUAGGUCUUGUUUGGUUGGUUAUUUUUAAUUUUUUUUUUUAAUUUCUGGGGGUUUUUAUAGUUUUUUUGAGUUUUUAUAAAGUUUUUGCUAUUGGUGUUUUGGGGUUCUAAAAUGAUUUUAUUUUAUUUUAUUUUAUUUUAUUUUAUUUUAUUUUAUUUUAUUUUAUUUUAUUUUAUUUUAUUUUAUUUUAUUUUACUUUAUUUUAUUUUAUUUUAUUUUAUUUUAUUUUAUUUUAUUUUAUUUUAUUUUAUUUUAUUUUAUUUUAUUUUAUUUUAUUUUAUUUUAUUUUUAUUUAUGCAGAUUUUUGCAUUCAAGGGUUAAAUCAGAAACCACACAGGCAUUGACU